Molecule: ribosomal RNA, 443 nt
Filed under: uncultured bacterium
Lineage: Bacteria
Description: partial 16S ribosomal RNA
Rfam family: Bacterial small subunit ribosomal RNA
Source: RNAcentral
CCUACGGGUGGCAGCAGUGGGGAAUAUUGGGCAAUGGGCGCAAGCCUGACCCAGCAACGCCGCGUGAAGGAAGAAGGCUUUCGGGUGGUAAACUUCUUUUCUCAGGGACGAAGCAAGUGACGGUACCUGAGGAAUAAGCAACGGCUAACGACGGGCCAGCAGCCGCGGUAAUACGUAGGUGGCAAGCGUUAUCCGGAUUUACUGGGUGUAAAGGGCGGGUAGGCGGGAAAGCAAGUCAGAUGUGAAAACCAUGGGCUCAACCUGUGGCCUGCAUUUGAAACUGUUUUUCUUGAGUACUGGAGAGGCAGCCGGAAUUCCUAGUGUAGCGGUGAAAUGCGUAGAUAUUAGGAGGAACACCAGUGGCGAAGGCGGUCUGCUGGACAGCAACUGACGCUGAGGCGCGAAAGCGUGGGGAGCAAACAGGAUUAGAUACCCGGGUAGUC